GUCACACUCUGCUCACUUUGCGAAAUCAAGGAUGGCGUCCUCUUCUUUAACGCCCUUUGAGCACAUGAGCAGACGGAGUGAUCA
RNAcentral lists this microRNA precursor (84 nucleotides) under Aotus nancymaae (Ma's night monkey). Its description in RNAcentral is "miRNA (ENSANAG00000004615.1)". The record is from RNAcentral. Lineage: Eukaryota; Metazoa; Chordata; Mammalia; Primates; Aotidae.